UCAUACAUCCAAACUCAACUUAAAUAUCUUACCGAAUUUUCAAACAAACUCACCACCCAAACCCACCCAUCCAAAAAUGUCUCCCUGCAACUGCAAUUGCUGCUCUGGUGACUGCAACUCCUGCGGCUGCGGCAGCUGCAGUGUAAGUUAAU
The sequence is a small RNA, 152 nucleotides long. It matches the Rfam family "A. fumigatus sRNA Afu_254". The record is from Rfam.